RNAcentral lists this long non-coding RNA (251 nucleotides) under Hordeum vulgare. Its description in RNAcentral is "long non-coding RNA (HVUL_LNC010954)". Lineage: Eukaryota; Viridiplantae; Streptophyta; Magnoliopsida; Poales; Poaceae. The record is from RNAcentral.
ACACUUUAUUGUUUCUAUGACCCAUUUGUCAUAGAGUCAAAUUUUUUGCCAAUUUUUGUUAAAGUUUGGCAUUUGUUUUUUCAGCUACACUUUAUGGUUUGCCACACUUUGAUGGUUUGCCACACUUUGACUUGACAAAAUUAGUCUCCAACCAAACAGACCCAUAAUAAUAUAUAAGGAUGAUAACGCGUCGAUUUUUAUACCGCAGAUCAGAUGCUUGUGUCGUGUGCAUGUUCCGUACGGACAACAGG